This 101-nucleotide small nuclear RNA is filed under the name Carlito syrichta (Philippine tarsier). The record is from RNAcentral. Lineage: Eukaryota; Metazoa; Chordata; Mammalia; Primates; Tarsiidae.
UUGCUUCAGCAGCACAAAUACUAAUAUUGGAAUGAUACAGAGAAAUUAGUAUGGCCCCUCACAAGGAUGACAUGUAAAUUCAUGAAGCAUUCCAUGAUUUU